AGAAGAUUAGGUUAAACAAACCAGAGGCCUUCAAAGCCCCAAACAAGAGUCACCACCCUCCUAGCUUGUG
RNAcentral lists this transfer RNA (70 nucleotides) under Cyrtodactylus irregularis. RNAcentral's name for it is "tRNA-Trp". Lineage: Eukaryota; Metazoa; Chordata; Lepidosauria; Squamata; Gekkonidae. The record is from RNAcentral.